AGAGCCAAGUUAGAAGAAAUUUG
RNAcentral lists this small nuclear RNA (23 nucleotides) under Arabidopsis thaliana (thale cress). RNAcentral describes it as "snRNA_18349". Lineage: Eukaryota; Viridiplantae; Streptophyta; Magnoliopsida; Brassicales; Brassicaceae. The record is from RNAcentral.